GCUCUGUACGGCAAAGUUCGCCAGUGGACACGGCUCAAAUGAAAGGUAAUAAUUUGGGAAAGGACCCACUGGAUUGUUUUUAGGGGGUUAGGCCCAUUUUGGAAUUGUUUGGGUUCAAAGUUGCUGUGAAGAAAAAAAUACGUGUACCCUUCAUUCUGUCGUUGAGCCUCUCCAACUCCGUUCGACAAAGUUUGCCACCGGACAUGGCUUAACAGAAGGUUAUUUUUGGAAUUAGGCCUAUUCGGGAAUUGUUGGGGUUCAAAGUUUCUCUUUAAAUAAAAAAGUACGUGAAUACAUAAAUUCUUACGUACGAUAAGCCUUGCAGUUCCGUACGGCAAAGUUCGCCCCCAGACAUGGCUCAAAUGAAAUAUUUUUUUGGGAAGUUAAGCCCCUUUAGGAAUUCUUGUGGUUUAAAAUUGCUGUUUAGAUUUUUCUUUUAAUAAUUUACAAACACCCUACAUUAUUUCGGUAAGCCUCGGCAGCUCCUUAAGGCAACGUUUGCCACCGGACAUGGCUAAAAAAAAAGGUAAUAACUUGGAAAUACCCUACUGAGUUUUUUGGGGAAGUUAGGCUCAUGCGGAAAUUGAUGCAUAUGGGUUUCAAAGUUGCUGUUCAGAAAAGAAUGAUAUUUGAUACAUAUAUCCAUGCUGUAUGUAAUGCGUAAUUACAUAAAUUGUAAGCCUGUAUCUUUUGUGUAUCAACCAUUUGUUUAUAUUUUCCAAAUCUCUGUUUUAAGAGUAAUAAAAAAACGUAAACCAAACUUGACAGAAAUAAUAUAUGGAAAGGCUUUUUAUAACCAAGUUUCUUUCUUACUUUCGAAUCUACGAGUUUGUUAAUUAAGCUUGAGUGCUUUCAAAAAAACUAAACCGUCUCUUGUGAAAUCUAAACAAUUUUAUAUUUUCGUAAGAAGUUGAUUUUGCAGAUGAUUUAUUAUGGCCCCUACAACACCAUGUGAAGCAAAACUAGUUAAUCUCUUUAAUAAUUUGUUUCAUAUUGUUUUAUAUAUCGUUUUUGGUGCAAGGAAAUACAGAAAAGAGUGUUCCACGCACUUUAUUUAUAUUCAUUUUUUUUCUGCACUCGUUCUAUUUGAGCAGUCAAAAUGCGUUGACUGUAUAUUUCUAUGUCAUAUACAGUCACUGACCCGAUACACUUUUCCUCAUGAAUAUUUGAAUAGAAGUUGCCGAAAUAAUAUUUAAUUAUUCAUACGAU
Molecule: long non-coding RNA, 1209 nt
Filed under: Mytilus galloprovincialis (Mediterranean mussel)
Lineage: Eukaryota; Metazoa; Mollusca; Bivalvia; Mytilida; Mytilidae
Source: RNAcentral